GGGCCCGCACAAGCAGUGGAGUAUGUGGUUUAAUUCGACGCAACGCGAAGAACCUUACCAGGUCUUGACAUCCAAAGGACCCUUUAGAGAUAGAGGGGUGCCCUUCGGGGAACUUUGAGACAGGUGGUGCAUGGUUGUCGUCAGCUCGUGUCGUGAGAUGUUGGGUUAAGUCCCGCAACGAGCGCAACCCUUGUGAAUAGUUGCUACGAAAGAGCACUCUAUUCAGACUGCCGUUGACAAAACGGAGGAAGGUGGGGAUGACGUCAAAUCAUCAUGCCCUUUAUGACCUGGGCUACACACGUACUACAAUGGCCGCGAACAAAGGGAAGCGAAGCCGCGAGGCGGAGCGGAUCUCGAAAAGCGGCCUCAGUUCAGAUUGCAGGCUGAAACCCGCCUGCAUGAAGACGGAAUUGCUAGUAAUCGCGGAUCAGCAUGCCGCGGUGAAUACGUUCCCGGGCCUU
This 461-nucleotide ribosomal RNA is filed under the name uncultured bacterium. RNAcentral's name for it is "bacterial SSU rRNA". It matches the Rfam family "Bacterial small subunit ribosomal RNA", at positions 917 to 1382 of the family's 1533-position model. The record is from RNAcentral.